GACGAACGCUGGCGGCGUGCUUAACACAUGCAAGUCGAACGGAAAGGCCUGCUUUCCCUUGUGGAUUGCGGGUACUCGAGUGGCGAACGGGUGAGUAACACGUGAGUGAUCUGCCCCCAACUUGGGUAUAAGCCUGGGAAACUGGGUCUAAUUCCCGAUAGGACUGCAGGGUGGUGCCUGUGGUGGAAAACGAUUUUCUAGUGGUUGGGGAUGAGCUCGCGGCCUAUCAGCUUGUUGGUGGGGUAAUGGCCUACCAAGGCGGCGACGGGUAGCCGGCCUGAGAGGGUGGACGGCCACAUUGGGACUGAGAUACGGCCCAGACUCCUACGGGAGGCAGCAGUGGGGAAUAUUGCACAAUGGGCGGAGGCCUGAUGCAGCGACGCCGCGUGGGGGAUGACGGCCUUCGGGUUGUAAACUCCUUUCGACCGCGAGGAAGCCACCUGGUUGGAAGGGUGGUGACGGUAGUGGUAGAAGAAGCACCGACUAACUACGUG
RNAcentral lists this ribosomal RNA (494 nucleotides) under uncultured bacterium. Its description in RNAcentral is "partial 16S ribosomal RNA". It matches the Rfam family "Bacterial small subunit ribosomal RNA", at positions 28 to 507 of the family's 1533-position model. The record is from RNAcentral.